CAUGUCGCUCUCUUUCUCUUGUGUUGCGAAGGUGCUUACUUUUUGUUGCGCCCCGUCAUCCAACUAAGGAGGUGGCUUGGCGGAGGCGACGUGUUGUUAUGCCGCCCGACGCCAAUCGUGUGUGGACUGGCUGGCUUUUCUCCUUCUUCUUCUUCUCUUAAUCCUCGUCUUUACACGCCAUCCCACGUGUGUUGGCAGAGUGGAGGAGGAAGUGUGUGUGUUUGGAGGAAGAAGGUGCAGUGGGGGAAAUAUGGUGAGUGCUCGUGUCAGACGCAGGCGUGUUGGUCACGGCUCGCAUCAGC
Molecule: ribosomal RNA, 302 nt
Filed under: Trypanosoma congolense type Savannah
Lineage: Eukaryota; Euglenozoa; Kinetoplastea; Trypanosomatida; Trypanosomatidae
Description: partial 18S ribosomal RNA
Source: RNAcentral